CAAGCACAGAGGAUAACCCAGAUCAGAGCAGACUUUUCACCCUCCCUGGGGCAGAGCUGUCAGCAUGACAAUUGUUAGCUUGCUGUGGGCAGUCCUGGUCUCCACCUAUCUCAGAGCUAGUGUGGCCCAGACAGUCACUCAGUCUCAACCAGAAAUGUCUGUACAGGAGACAGAGACGGUGACCCUGAGCUGCACAUAUGACACUAAGGAGAGUAAUUAUUAUCUCUUCUGGUAUAAGCAGCAUCCCAGUGGGCAGCUGGUUUUCAUUAUUAGCCAAGAAGCUUAUACCCAGCAAAAUGCAACAGAGAGUCGCUUCUCUGUGAACUUCCAGAAGGCAGCCAAAUCCUUCAGUCUCAAGAUCUCAGACUCACAGCUGGGGGAUGCUGCGAUGUAUUUCUGUGCUCUCAAGGAGCACACAGUGAUAGGGACAAUAAGAAGAGGCUGA
Molecule: non-coding RNA, 445 nt
Organism: Castor canadensis (American beaver)
Lineage: Eukaryota; Metazoa; Chordata; Mammalia; Rodentia; Castoridae
Source: the annotation of a RefSeq genome assembly